GGGCCCGUAGCUCAGCCAGGCAGAGCGGCGGGCUCCAGACCCGUAGGUCGGGGGUUCGAAUCCCCUCGGGCCCACCA
Molecule: transfer RNA, 77 nt
Filed under: Desulfurococcales archaeon
Lineage: Archaea; Thermoproteati; Thermoproteota; Thermoprotei; Desulfurococcales
Description: tRNA-Trp
Rfam family: tRNA
About the family: Transfer RNA (tRNA) molecules are approximately 80 nucleotides in length. Their secondary structure includes four short double-helical elements and three loops (D, anti-codon, and T loops). Further hydrogen bonds mediate the characteristic L-shaped molecular structure. tRNAs have two regions of fundamental functional importance: the anti-codon, which is responsible for specific mRNA codon recognition, and the 3' end, to which the tRNAs corresponding amino acid is attached (by aminoacyl-tRNA synthetases). tRNAs cope with the degeneracy of the genetic code in two manners: having more than one tRNA (with a specific anti-codon) for a particular amino acid; and 'wobble' base-pairing, i.e. permitting non-standard base-pairing at the 3rd anti-codon position.
Source: RNAcentral